This 133-nucleotide unclassified non-coding RNA is filed under the name uncultured Podospora. RNAcentral describes it as "sequence contains ITS1". Lineage: Eukaryota; Fungi; Ascomycota; Sordariomycetes; Sordariales; Lasiosphaeriaceae. The record is from RNAcentral.
CAGAGUUGCAAAACUCCCAACCCUUUGUGAACGAACCUACCAGUUGCCUCGGCGGCGAGCCUUCUAGGCGGACCGCCGGAGGAAUACAAACUCUAUGCAUUAUAGUCUCUCUGAUUACUUAUUCAAUAAGUUA